This 678-nucleotide long non-coding RNA is filed under the name Mytilus galloprovincialis (Mediterranean mussel). The record is from RNAcentral. Lineage: Eukaryota; Metazoa; Mollusca; Bivalvia; Mytilida; Mytilidae.
GUUGUCCUUAGUAGAUGGAUCCCAGAUGGUGCUAGAGUAUUCCAUGAGUGGUCUUACAAGCGUUUGAUAACAUAAUGCUUUUGUUUUACUAGGACAGCUUUUGAUGUUCCUUUGAAGAAAACUCGGCUCGGGUGGAGUUAGCUUUCUUUGCGAUGUUGUCAAUGUGUUUGUUCCAACUCAAUGUUUUGUGUAUGGAGACGCCAAGAUAUUUAGCAGAGUCAACCUCUUCUAGGAUGUGGCCGUGGAUGUUAUAAUUUGCCAUGACUAUUUUCCGCUUUGUUGUUACUCUGAGGAGUUGGCAUUUUUGGGGGUGGAAUUCCAUCUGCCAGUCUGCCUCCCAUUGUUGAAGUCCAUCCAGGUCGUUUUGGAGGGUGUUCACAUCCGUUUCGCUUCUUAUCUGUCGGUAGAGAACGCAGUCACUUGAACGCAGUCGUCUGCGAAAAGUCUAACAUUUGAAGAUGACACAUACUCUGGGAGGUCAUUUAUAAAGAGAAGAAACAUAAGCGGGCCAAUCACUCUACCUUGUGGGACUCCAGACUGCACUGGUGAGGUUUCUGAUGAUUCUCCUAUCAGGAGUACACAUUGCUGUCUGUCCUCCAGAAAGUUUCUCAGCCAUUUUAAUGUUGUUCCUCUAAUACCGUAAUGGUCGAUUUUGUACAGUAGUCGUUCAUGUGGGAC